AACAUAUUCUAAAAAAUUCCCCACAUCCAAUUUAGGGAUUGAUUUAGCUUUGGAAAAAUAUGUGAUCUAGAUAAUUUGCUUAUCAAUAUGCCUACUAUUCGAAUCAUUCUGUUUUCAAUUUUUUACUUAGAUUGGAGAGUAUGAUGGCAUGAAUAGAGAAAGUAUUUUGCUGCUGAAUUCAUAAUUAUUUUGUACUCUAGCAAACAUGAUCCAAGUUGUUAUUAACAAAGUUCAACUACCAAAAUUACCUUAUUUAAGCAGUAUUCAUAGGAUAUCUAGUUGAAGUAUCUAAACUGAAAAGAGGUUCAACAACAUAACUAAG
RNAcentral lists this unclassified non-coding RNA (322 nucleotides) under Hevea brasiliensis (rubber tree). The record is from RNAcentral. Lineage: Eukaryota; Viridiplantae; Streptophyta; Magnoliopsida; Malpighiales; Euphorbiaceae.